This is a long non-coding RNA of Engraulis encrasicolus (European anchovy), 522 nucleotides long. RefSeq lists it as uncharacterized. The record is from RefSeq and is a predicted model, not a curated record. The transcript is spliced from 3 exons. Lineage: Eukaryota; Metazoa; Chordata; Actinopteri; Clupeiformes; Engraulidae.
ACUUGGCGUUACCAGAGCCACAAACAGCAGCUGUUAGACAAAGGAUAAUAAACUGCAUAAAAUGUCUCAACUGAAGGGUCAAACCCAGAAAGCAGAAAAGGAAAAAUAAACUACACAGCACCAACCAGUGAAAUACAACCAAAUACGAACAAAGAUAAGGACAUACACACUGGAAUGGUAAUGGAGUUGGAAGAUGAGCUUGGCCACUAUGGAAACACUUCUGAUGGGGAGUGGGAGGAAGAUAACAUUGAGGAAUAUGUGACAACUGACACAGGGACAGAUCCACAUAGUAUCUUUAUUACUGUUUGCUGUGCGUUUAUAUUUAUUAUUAGCAUAGUUGGAAACAUUGUUGUGCUUUUCAUUCGCACAUCAAGAGUCUAUAAUUUACUGGACAGAAUUAAGUUGUUGAUUACGAUUUCUAAUCUAAUUUUCACUCUGACUCUGCCAUUCUGGGCUGCUGUUUCCAAUGGCAACUGGGUCAUGGGAAAGGUGUCAUGCAAGCUUUUGACUGGAAUGUAUUGU